GCGUGCUUAACACAUGCAAGUCGAACGGUAACAGCAGUACUUGUACUGGCUGACGAGUGGCGGACGGGUGAGUAAUGUAUAGUUAAUCUGCCUCUUAGAGAGGGAUAACAGUUGGAAACGACUGCUAAUACCUCAUACUCCUUUUAUCUUAAUGGUAAUUGGGAAAUGUUUUUUCGCUAAGAGAUGAGACUAUAUGGUAUCAGCUUGUUGGUGAGGUAAUGGCUCACCAAGGCAAUGACACCUAGCUGGUCUGAGAGGAUGAUCAGCCACACUGGAACUGAAACACGGUCCAGACUCCUACGGGAGGCAGCAGUGGGGAAUAUUGCACAAUGGAGGAAACUCUGAUGCAGCAACGCCGCGUGGAGGAUGACGCAUUUCGGUGUGUAAACUCCUUUUAUAUAGGAAGAUAAUGACGGUACUAUAUGAAUAAGCACCGGCUAACUCCGUGCCAGCAGCCGCGGUAAUACGGAGGGUGCAAGCGUUACUCGGAAUCACUGGGCGUAAAGCGCGCGCAGGCGGUCUGAUAAGUUGGAAGUGAAAUCCUAUGGCUCAACCAUAGAACUGCUUCCAAAACUGUCAGACUAGAGUGUGGGAGGGGAAGAUGGAAUUAGUUGUGUAGGGGUAAAAUCCGUAGAGAUAACUAGGAAUACCAAAAGCGAAGGCGAUCUUCUGGAACACUACUGACGCUGAGGCGCGAAAGCGUGGGG
Molecule: ribosomal RNA, 707 nt
Filed under: uncultured bacterium
Lineage: Bacteria
Description: bacterial SSU rRNA
Rfam family: Bacterial small subunit ribosomal RNA
Source: RNAcentral